UGAGUCGGCCGGGCGACCGCGUGCAGCGCAAGCUGUGGGAGGAAAGUCCGGGCUCCGCAGGGCAAAGCGCCAGGUAACGCCUGGGAGGUGAAAGCCUACGGAAAGUGCAACAGAAAGGAAACCGCCUAAGCAGCGUGCUGCCGGUAAGGUUGAAAAGGUGCGGUAAGAGCGCACCGCGUGACUGGCAACAGUUCACGGCGAUGGUAAACCCCGCUUGGAGCAAGGCCAAAUAGGAAUCCAAUGCUGUGGCCCGCAGUGGAUUCGGGUAGGCCGCUAGAGGUUUGUGGUGACGCAAAUCGCAGAUGAAUGGUCGUCCAAGACAGAACCCGGCUUAUAGGCCGACUCAUUUU
RNAcentral lists this RNase P RNA (350 nucleotides) under Spongiibacter sp. IMCC21906. Its description in RNAcentral is "Bacterial RNase P class A". It matches the Rfam family "Bacterial RNase P class A". From Rfam's summary of the family: Ribonuclease P (RNase P) is a ubiquitous endoribonuclease, found in archaea, bacteria and eukarya as well as chloroplasts and mitochondria. Its best characterised activity is the generation of mature 5'-ends of tRNAs by cleaving the 5'-leader elements of precursor-tRNAs. Lineage: Bacteria; Pseudomonadati; Pseudomonadota; Gammaproteobacteria; Cellvibrionales; Spongiibacteraceae. The record is from Rfam by way of RNAcentral.